RNAcentral lists this microRNA precursor (103 nucleotides) under Marmota monax (woodchuck). The record is from RNAcentral. Lineage: Eukaryota; Metazoa; Chordata; Mammalia; Rodentia; Sciuridae.
AGAGGAAUAGCUGGGUCAAAUAGUGGUUCCAUUCCCAAAUUUCCAAGGAAUAUCCAUACUGCUUUCCAAAUGGGCUGCACCAGUUUGUAGUCCCACCAGCAAU